Molecule: ribosomal RNA, 601 nt
Filed under: uncultured bacterium
Lineage: Bacteria
Description: bacterial SSU rRNA
Rfam family: Bacterial small subunit ribosomal RNA
Source: RNAcentral
AGCGCCACUGACGCUGAUGCUCGAAAGCGUGGGUAUCGAACAGGAUUAGAUACCCUGGUAGUCCACGCGGUAAACGAUGGAUGCUCGCUGUGUGCCUAUGAGGUACGUGGCCAAGGGAAACCAUUAAGCAUCCCACCUGGGGAGUACGCCGGCAACGGUGAAACUCAAAGGAAUUGACGGGGGCCCGCACAAGCGGAGGAACAUGUGGUUUAAUUCGAUGAUACGCGAGGAACCUUACCCGGGCUUGAACUGCAGGAGAACGAUACAGAGAUGUUGAGGUCCUUCGGGACUCCUGUGGAGGUGCUGCAUGGUUGUCGUCAGCUCGUGCCGUGAGGUGUCGGCUUAAGUGCCAUAACGAGCGCAACCCCUUUCGUUAGUUGCCAUCAGGUGAUGCUGGGCACUCUGGCGAUACUGCCACCGUAAGGUGUGAGGAAGGUGGGGAUGACGUCAAAUCAGCACGGCCCUUACGUCCGGGGCUACACACGUGUUACAAUGGCGCAUACAGAGAGUCGGUCCUGCGCAAGUAGGGUCUAAUCAGGAAAGUGCGUCGUAGUUCGGACUGGGGUCUGCAACCCGACCCCACGAAGCUGGAUUCGCUAGU